RNA transcript from Metopolophium dirhodum (rose-grain aphid), 2222 nucleotides. RefSeq lists it as uncharacterized. NCBI's taxonomy places the organism in Eukaryota, Metazoa, Arthropoda, Insecta, Hemiptera, Aphididae. The transcript has 3 exons. The record is from RefSeq and is a predicted model, not a curated record.
CAUUGAAGCCGACCGCCAUUUACCAAGCGGGUAAUGAUUACAACAUCAUCACAGAGUAUGAUGCGCAUAUAUAAGUAUAUGAAUAAAUGUUAACAUUGCCCUCUUUACAAAUGGUGACAGACUUCAACAUCGACCACAACCCCGGCUAUUGAACUUAAUCAAGUUACCAUAAUAUUAUAACCUAAUCUAUGUAGUAUAAAGUCUGCUAUCUAGAAUUGUGUGAUAAGGCAACUUAUGUGAUAGCGUGAAACUGAUAAAGAAUGAGGUGGUAGACGCUAGUGUAGCCGUGUCUUAAACGAGAUCGCGCACCAAUCGGAGUGAACCACGCAUAUGUUUACUGCCACGUCAGUGUUCGGGCCCAGCACUGUUGCCCGAUCCGGCAUUACGAUUUUCGUCUAAAUAGUAAAGGUUCAACCAGACACCAGUAACCACGCAUCCAAAGUGUUAACUAUAGGACAUAUUAUUAUUAUUAAAAUAUGUCUAUGGCAUCUACUAUCGAUUAUCAUAGAGUUGCCGCAUGGUCAUAAUUUUAGGUUAAUUUAUAAAUUAAUAAAUUAAAUAAAUAAAUACAAUUAGUUUAUAAUUUUGUGUGCUUUAUAGUCUUACAAUUUACAAAUGGAAAAUGGUUCCAUUUGUGUCAACUGUAGGUCGCAGGAUGAUGUUUUGAGUGCAUUGAAAAUUAACCCCAAAUGGAGAGAAGUGGAUUAAAACACGUGAGUCUUGAAAACGUGCGAUCACUUUGCUAUUAUAUAUUCUAAUAUUAUAUAGUAUAUAUAAACACCAAAAAAUGGUUCAAGGUAUAUCAUUAUAAUAUGAGACACAGUAUAAAAUGCAGGUUCUACAACACAGAUGGAAGCAGUGUUGUAAAUCAAUGGAUAACGUUGUUUUUGAAGUGUUAAUUGUCUUAGUGUACUAGGCCGCUUACCUUCACACAACUUCUUAGUGUCGACUACUGUAUACGACACAACUGGAACGCUGAAAGCAAGAUGAAAUUUAUGUCUGACGUCGGUACUUUGACACUCUGCAAACAAUCGUUAAUGAAGCGCAGGAAAGCGAUCGACACACGUUGACGAAGCGCUGACAGAUCUCUGACGACACAGACCUAGAACCGAGAGAAAAUUAUUGAAAACAUGCAAAUACAACUGUGUAAAGGUCCCCCCCCCCCCCCCCACACACACACUGCAGCACUAGGCGUUAAAUUCUAUCGUCUUGGUUUUACCGCCGCGGUGAGCGGUGAAAUGUGUCCUGCGUCGAUUCACCGCCACCGCUGCAGUGCGUGAGGACCCUUGUGAAAAACAUUUAAUGCCACCCGAACAACAACAACAACGGUAAUUUCAAUGAUGUCGCGUCGCACGUACAGAAACCACGGUAGUCACCGAACUCGCGUUAUGACGUGGGUCUCGUUAACCGUUCGGUACGAAAUAUCGUAUUCUACUAUAAUAGCGAGCAAUCCCUUCUUUCGGAUACGACGUUUUCGCCGACGGACGAAAUGCGCGCGUUUCGGCACGUACAAUAUUCCCGUCGUAUUAGUAUUUCGGCGUACCUAACCCUAUAUUACGUGGUUUGGAAGAAAUACACGCGUAGGUACGCGGUGGACCCGACGGAUAAAAAUGGCGUUUCGCGUCGUGUACGCGGUCUCGGACGUAAAAUUUCGGACGGUUUGUGACGCGCAGACGUCUAUUUGGCUAGUUUCGAUCGCGUUCGGGGAAAAAAAAAAAAAAUCGUACGGCGGCGCGCACGCGGUCCCGGGGCGGCGGUACCUCGAACGGCUCGGCGGCCAUAUUUCGUUGGAGACCGCUGCUUCGCAUUUCGAUGUUCGCGAAAAAAGAAACGUCGUGCGAUCGCGUUGCGCCGUUACCGACGUGUCGUCGGGUGUCGUUGGUUACACUUACGUUGUUACGAAAAAAAUUGCGAUCCGAAGACUCGUUUACUCGGUGCAAGCGACGGGAAAAAAUUCCGUUCGUAGACGACGAGAACGCGUCGUAGUAGAAAAACGAAAAUGGCGUCUGUAAACAACUGUGUCGACGAAUCCAAUGCCGUGUGGCGGGUUCAUUGUCUGACAGUCUGGCACUCUGACACGGAGAUUUUCGGUGAUAGAUAAGGAACGAGUACGAUUAUUAUUAUUAUUAUUAUUAUUAUUAUUAUUGUUGUUGUUGUUUGUGAGCGGAACGUAACGGCGGUGUCUAUGGAGGCAUAAUAUAAUAUUAUAAUAAUAUGUGAAA